This 274-nucleotide ribosomal RNA is filed under the name uncultured bacterium. RNAcentral's name for it is "partial 16S ribosomal RNA". It matches the Rfam family "Bacterial small subunit ribosomal RNA", at positions 523 to 796 of the family's 1533-position model. The record is from RNAcentral.
AUACGGAGGGUGCAAGCGUUAUUCGAAAUCACUGGGCGUAAAGGACGCGUAGGCGGGUUGGCAAGUCAGAUGUGAAAUCCUACAGCUUAACUGUAGAACUGCAUUUGAAACUGCUAACCUAGAGUAUGGGAGGGGGAGAUGGAAUUAGUGGUGUAGGGGUAAAAUCCGUAGAUAUCACUAGGAAUACCGAAAGCGAAGGCGAUCUCCUGGAACAUAACUGACGCUAAGGCGUGAAAGCGUGGGGAGCAAACAGGAUUAGAAACCCUAGUAGUCC